UACGGGUGGCAGCAGUGGGGAAUAUUGGACAAUGGGCGAAAGCCUGAUCCAGCCAUGCCGCGUGUGUGAAGAAGGCCUUCGGGUUGUAAAGCACUUUCAGUGGGGAAGAAAGCCUUGGGGCUAAUACCCUCGAGGAAGGACAUCACCCACAGAAGAAGCACCGGCUAACUCCGUGCCAGCAGCCGCGGUAAUACGGAGGGUGCGAGCGUUAAUCGGAAUUACUGGGCGUAAAGCGCGCGUAGGCGGUCUGAUAAGCCGGUUGUGAAAGCCCCGGGCUCAACCUGGGAACGGCAUCCGGAACUGUCAGGCUAGAGUGCAGGAGAGGAAGGUAGAAUUCCCGGUGUAGCGGUGAAAUGCGUAGAGAUCGGGAGGAAUACCAGUGGCGAAGGCGGCCUUCUGGACUGACACUGACGCUGAGGUGCGAAAGCGUGGGUAGCAAACAGGAUUAGAUACCCUAGUAGUC
This 463-nucleotide ribosomal RNA is filed under the name Vreelandella stevensii. RNAcentral describes it as "partial 16S ribosomal RNA". It matches the Rfam family "Bacterial small subunit ribosomal RNA", at positions 340 to 795 of the family's 1533-position model. Lineage: Bacteria; Pseudomonadati; Pseudomonadota; Gammaproteobacteria; Oceanospirillales; Halomonadaceae. The record is from RNAcentral.